Long non-coding RNA from Gallus gallus (chicken), 673 nucleotides. Lineage: Eukaryota; Metazoa; Chordata; Aves; Galliformes; Phasianidae. The record is from Ensembl.
AGGAAGUUUGUGCUAGAUUGAGGGACAUAUCCUUCAUCUGUCAUGGUUUGGAAUUAGUUGUCUUCUUUGAUAGUCCCAUCCAAGGUCUUCAGUUGCAACCAUGAUAUUAUGAUGUUCAUAGGAGAAUGUGCAUGGAGAUGAUGCCAUUCCCCUUGUUCUUGGAUGAGAGCAUUACAGACAGGGAAAGUAACCCUUCUUCACAUCUCAGGCUUGAUUGUACCUCUCUCUUGUCAGGACAGCAAUGCAUGUAACCAGAGACAAUGUUUGGGGACCGGGGAGAGAGAAGUGUUGCAGUCUCUGGAUUCAAGUUUUCUCACCUUUCCCAAAAUAGAACUCCUCAGCUUUCUGGGUCCUGAGAUAAUCUCCCAUGUGUCACUUGAGCCUACACAAGGCUUUGGGAAGUAAAACGGCUAUAUAAAUACCUGAUGAAGGAAGAGUUCCACGUGCUUGGAAAAUCAUCCCUGAACUCUGUGGAGAAAUAUGCCUGCAGCCAUAUUUCUUAAAUGUAUAAGAUUCCCCAUCUCCAGAUUUCUGUCCAGCCUAUGCAUGGAAUCACAAAUGACCUGUCUCCAAAUCAGCCAGAUCUUGGGAAGAAUUUGUUUCAAAAUUGAUCUAAAAUUAAAACAGCAUAGAACCAGAGAACAUCCUGAGUUGGAAGGGACCUGGAAGGGUC